Molecule: ribosomal RNA, 252 nt
Filed under: uncultured prokaryote
Description: partial 16S rRNA
Rfam family: Bacterial small subunit ribosomal RNA
Source: RNAcentral
ACCGGCGGCUCGAGUGGUGGCCACUAUUACUGGGCUUAAAGCGUUCGUAGCUGGCUUGUUAAGUCUCUGGGGAAAUCUUCCGGCUCAACCGGAAGGCGUCUCAGGGAUACUGGCAGACUUGAAUACGGGAGAGGGUAGUGGAAUUCCUAGUGUAGGAGUGAAAUCCGUAGAUAUUAGGAGGAACACCGGUGGCGAAGGCGGCUACCUGGACCGAUAUUGACGCUGAGACGCGAAAGCGUGGGGAGCAAACAG